Enterococcus devriesei is the source of this 90-nucleotide non-coding RNA. Lineage: Bacteria; Bacillati; Bacillota; Bacilli; Lactobacillales; Enterococcaceae. The record is from Rfam.
GGAGGGGUACUCAAGUCUGGUUUAAGAGGCCAACACUUUGUGUUUGGUAGGAGCUUUUUGCUCGCGUUGGUUCAAAUCCUUCUCCCUCCG